GAUGAACGCUGGCGGCGUGCCUAAUACAUGCAAGUCGAGCGAACAGACGAUGAGCUUGCUCCUCUGACGUUAGCGGCGGACGGGUGAGUAACACGUGUAUAACCUACCUAUAAGUCUGGGAUAACUUCGGGACACCGGCGCUAAUCCCGGAUAAUAUAUUGAACCGCAUGGUUCAAUAGUGAAAUACGGUUUUGGUGUCACUUAUAGAUGGUUCCGCGCCGCAUUAGCUAGUUGGUAAGGUAACGGCUUACCAAGGCAACGAUGCGUAGCCGACCUGUGAGGGUGAUAGGCCACACUGGAGCUGAGACACGGUCCAGACGCCUGCGGGAGGCACCAGUAGGGAAUGUUACGCAAUGGGCGAAAGCCUGACGGAGCGACGCCGAGUGAGUGGUGAAGGUCUUCGGAUCGUAAUACUGUGUUAUUAGGGAAAAACCAAUGUCUAAGUAACUGUGCACGUCUUGACGGUAACUAAUAAGGAAGCAACGGCUAACUACGUG
RNAcentral lists this ribosomal RNA (497 nucleotides) under uncultured bacterium. Its description in RNAcentral is "partial 16S ribosomal RNA". It matches the Rfam family "Bacterial small subunit ribosomal RNA", at positions 28 to 507 of the family's 1533-position model. The record is from RNAcentral.